CUUUAACAAGAACUGCCUGAAAAAAAACCCCAAAGGAGUUGAAAAUCCCCCCCUGGAGAGCAUCAGCAGGCACCCAGAAUACAUCUCCAGGGUCACUUAAUUCCCUGGAUCCUACCCAACUGCUAUUGAAGUUAAUUGAAAAAACUCCCAUUGCCUUGAAGAGGUUUUGGAUCCGACUCAAAUGGCUCAGUGGCAGCAGAUUACAAGAAGGAACCCCACUGUGCAAUUCCAGCCAUCUGCCUAUGGUGUGAUUCACCAGGAAACAUAAAGGCAAGAAAUGAAAGAAAGGAGCAAUCUCUGGAGAAGGGGCUGAGGAGAGGAGGCAGAAAAGAAGCCUCCUGUCUUUCAGGAAGGAUGCCUGUCCUCACAGCCGCGGUGUCUCCAAAACCUGUGCAAAAUUUCUGAUCUGCUUCAGUGCUGAGGAUGAUUUAAAUGAAUCUGUGUUACUCUGAACCAAAACAAAUGGGGAGUGCUUGCAUGAGCCACCAGG
Molecule: long non-coding RNA, 490 nt
Filed under: Zonotrichia albicollis (white-throated sparrow)
Lineage: Eukaryota; Metazoa; Chordata; Aves; Passeriformes; Passerellidae
Description: lncRNA (ENSZALG00000016720.1)
Source: RNAcentral